Molecule: ribosomal RNA, 467 nt
Filed under: uncultured bacterium
Lineage: Bacteria
Description: partial 16S ribosomal RNA
Rfam family: Bacterial small subunit ribosomal RNA
Source: RNAcentral
GACGAACGCUGGCGGCGUGCUUAACACAUGCAAGUCGAACGGAAAGGCCCUGCUUUUGUGGGGUGCUCGAGUGGCGAACGGGUGAGUAACACGUGAGUAACCUGCCCUUGACUUUGGGAUAACUUCAGGAAACUGGGGCUAAUACCGGAUAGGAGCUCCUGCUGCAUGGUGGGGGUUGGAAAGUUUCGGCGGUUGGGGAUGGACUCGCGGCUUAUCAGCUUGUUGGUGGGGUAGUGGCUUACCAAGGCUUUGACGGGUAGCCGGCCUGAGAGGGUGACCGGCCACAUUGGGACUGAGAUACGGCCCAGACUCCUACGGGAGGCAGCAGUGGGGAAUAUUGCACAAUGGGCGGAAGCCUGAUGCAGCAACGCCGCGUGCGGGAUGACGGCCUUCGGGUUGUAAACCGCUUUCGCCUGUGACGAAGCAUGAGUGACGGUAAUGGGUAAAGAAGCACCGGCUAACUACGU